GCUUGUCAAUCCCGAUCCUGGGGAAAAGAACUGAACACUUUUACAUUUGGUGCCCCAGAGACUUCUACAGCAGGGCAGGUCUUUGCCUCAUGAAGGAGGGCCAGAUGGAGGAAGAAAGAGGAGAUGAUGCCCCAUGGAAAUAGAUGAAACACAUUUUGAGAAGAGGGAGCCCAUCUCCCACACUGUACAGACCAGACUAACAUUACUGGAAUACCUUCAGUAGGUUUGGCUUGAAAUCAUGAAUGGACA
Poecile atricapillus (Black-capped chickadee) is the source of this 249-nucleotide long non-coding RNA. RefSeq lists it as uncharacterized. The record is from RefSeq and is a predicted model, not a curated record. The transcript is spliced from 3 exons. Lineage: Eukaryota; Metazoa; Chordata; Aves; Passeriformes; Paridae.